Molecule: ribosomal RNA, 460 nt
Filed under: uncultured bacterium
Lineage: Bacteria
Description: partial 16S ribosomal RNA
Rfam family: Bacterial small subunit ribosomal RNA
Source: RNAcentral
CCUACGGGGGGCUGCAGUGAGGAAUAUUGGUCAAUGGGCGUAAGCCUGAACCAGCCAAGUCGCGUGAGGGAUGAAGGUUCUAUGGAUCGUAAACCUCUUUUAUAAGGGAAUAAAGUGCGGGUCGUGUCCCGUUUUGUAUGUACCUUAUGAAUAAGCAUCGGCUAACUCCGUGCCAGCAGCCGCGGUAAUACGGAGGAUCCGAGCGUUAUCCGGAUUUAUUGGGUUUAAAGGGUGCGUAGGCGGCCUUUUAAGUCAGCGGUGAAAGUCUGUGGCUCAACCAUAGAAUAGCAGUUGAAACUGGGAGGCUUGAGUAUGUGAAGGGCAGGCGGAAGGCGUGGUGUAGCGGUGAAAUGCUUAGAUAUCACGCAGAACCCCGAUUGCGAAGGCAGCCUGCCAGGCCAUGACUGACGCUGAUGCACGAAAGCGUGGGGAUCAAACAGGAUUAGAUACCCUUGUAGUC